CCUACGGGUGGCUGCAGUAGGGAAUAUUGGUCAAUGGUCGGAAGACUGAACCAGCCAUGCCGCGUGCAGGAAGAAGGCCUUCUGGGUUGUAAACUGCUUUUCUCAGGGGUGAAAAGAACCUUGCGAGGUGCAUUGACGGUACCUGAGGAAUAAGCACCGGCUAACUCCGUGCCAGCAGCCGCGGUAAUACGGAGGGUGCAAGCGUUGUCCGGAUUCAUUGGGUUUAAAGGGUGCGUAGGCGGCAGCUUAAGUCAGUGGUGAAAUCCAACAGCUCA
RNAcentral lists this ribosomal RNA (275 nucleotides) under uncultured bacterium. RNAcentral describes it as "partial 16S ribosomal RNA". It matches the Rfam family "Bacterial small subunit ribosomal RNA", at positions 338 to 611 of the family's 1533-position model. The record is from RNAcentral.